GGACUACCAGGGUAUCUAAUCCCGUUCGCUCCCCUGGCUUUCGUGUCUCAGCGUCAGCGAGUCCCCAGCGAGCUGUUUUCACCGUCGGCGUUCCAAGCGAUAUCUACGCAUUUCACCGCUCCACCGCUUGUUCCGCUCGCCCCUGGACUGCUCAAGAUCGCCAGUAUGCCCAGCGGUUCCACCGUUGAGCGGUGGGAUUUCACAAGACACUUAACGACCCGCCUACACACGCUUUAAGCCCAGUGAUUCCGCCUAACGCUCGGCACCUCUGUCUUACCGCGGCGGCUGGCAC
Molecule: ribosomal RNA, 292 nt
Filed under: uncultured bacterium
Lineage: Bacteria
Description: partial 16S ribosomal RNA
Source: RNAcentral